RNAcentral lists this ribosomal RNA (468 nucleotides) under uncultured bacterium. Its description in RNAcentral is "bacterial SSU rRNA". It matches the Rfam family "Bacterial small subunit ribosomal RNA", at positions 28 to 506 of the family's 1533-position model. The record is from RNAcentral.
GAUGAACGCUAGCGGCAGGCCUAAUACAUGCAAGUCGAACGGUGUCUUCGGACAUAGUGGCGCACGGGUGCGUAACACGUAUGCAACCUACCUUACAUUGGGGGAUAGCCUUUCGAAAGGGAGAUUAAUACCGCAUAAGACAGUAGCUGGGCAUCCAGCAGCUGUUAAAGAUUUAUCGAUGUAAGCUGGGCAUGCGUCCAAUUAGCUAGUUGGUGAGGUAACGGCUCACCAAGGCUAUGAUUGGUAGGGGAACUGAGAGGUCAAUCCCCCACACUGGCACUGAGAUACGGGCCAGACUCCUACGGGAGGCAGCAGUAGGGAAUAUUGGGCAAUGGACGCAAGUCUGACCCAGCCAUGCCGCGUGCAGGAUGAAGGCGUUAUGCGUUGUAAACUGCUUUUGACAGGGAAGAAAUCACUUAUGCGUAAGUGUCUGACGGUACCUGUAGAAUAAGCACCGGCUAACUCCGU